Non-coding RNA from Oryzias latipes (Japanese medaka), 1077 nucleotides. NCBI's taxonomy places the organism in Eukaryota, Metazoa, Chordata, Actinopteri, Beloniformes, Adrianichthyidae. The record is from RefSeq and is a predicted model, not a curated record.
GGAUCUGGUGGAGAGUCUAAACUCCAAACUGCAGACUCUGAGACUUUCAGAACCAUGCGGACUCUCAGAGACUCACUGAGAAAUUGUGGUCUCAGCUCUGAAGUCCAGCCUGUCCAACCUGACAGAACUGGACCUGACCAACAACAUCCUGGAAGAUUCAUCCAUGGAGGUUCUUUGGUUGUUCCGAUACAGCUCUAAAACUACUUCCUACGAGCGCAAUAACGUUUUCUUUUGUUUGUAUUUUGUUGUUUUUUUUGGAGUCAGGCAUUGGAACCUGGUUCUGUCUCUGGAACAGGGACAGAACCAGAACUCUGGAUCACAAGAUUCUGGUUCCAGAUGUUUUACACUUGAUUUCUGUUCUCCAGAAACUGUCAUUGACAAACAAACCCAGAGUUUCAUUCAGAAACCUCCAACAUGGUCAUGUGACCAGAAUGUUCAUAGUGGAGACACGGACAAACGCUGUGGUCACAUGACUCACUGGUUUGGAUUCAAGUCCUUUGAAGUCAGUUCUUGGAGCAGAAAUCCCGUCUGAUCUCAGUUAGUGAACAAAAGUCUCUCAGUUGAAUCAUUUUUCCAUCAUCUCUGUUCUCUUGAUGAUCAAAUAUUGACUCAUGCAGUUUGAAAGACUCAGAGUUUUGCUUUGAUUGAUGUUUUCCACAGUUUUGUGACUGAACUUCCUUUUUCUUUGGUGUUUUGUGGGUAAAACUCUGUUCUUUUUCAUGCUGACAGCAUUUUUAGCUGCAGUUUGUAAAGAAGUUUCAUCUAAAUCCAGUAGAAUCUCCUCAUUUUCUAGAAUGUCUGAAACUAGUAGAAACUUUCUGAGCAUAAAGCCUGUUUUCUCCAGAGGACAUGAAUGAACAGAGUGGAUCUUAGUGAGGAAUGACAGCCUCUGGAUGCAGAGAAUCACUUUGAAGCAGCUGCUGCAACAACACCAACUGCAUUGAAGCAGGAGGGAAAAGGGAGACACCUGCUGGCGGUUUGCAGAACUGCAUCUUAGUGUCAAAAGGCUUCGAACUGAAAGCUGUCUGUAAAAUUCCUGCAGCCUGUUUGGAUCUAAUAAAUGCUCUUUUGAAUCAA